This 997-nucleotide long non-coding RNA is filed under the name Bos taurus (domestic cattle). RNAcentral's name for it is "long non-coding RNA NONBTAT000500". Lineage: Eukaryota; Metazoa; Chordata; Mammalia; Artiodactyla; Bovidae. The record is from RNAcentral.
UUGGACUCUUGCAACAGAUCACAAAAAAUAAAAACAGCCACUUGCAGUGACUUUGGUCAUUUCUGUAUGUUCACAAGGAAUGGAUUGUAACAAAGAAAAAAAGGAACAGUGUUAGUGAAAGAGGAAAAAUGGGCGAAACCAUCUUGAUCCAAUGGGAAUGCAGUAAUGUUCUAUACAUUUCACCUAUUUCUUUUCGUCAUGUUGAUUUGAUUUCAGUUUUCGGCUAUUAAAUUUUCUUUAACUCAAAUGACCCACAACAAAACUGAGCAAAAUGACUACAGCGAAAGCCCUUUUCAGUGGAAGAAGUCAGAAAUCUCAAAACCCUUGGCCUGACUCAGAACUACCAUGUGCAAACCAGUACUCUUUUAAUGUUUGAAAUAAAACUGAAAAAAAAAAAAAAAAAAACCUUUUUUGAAGCACCUUAAUGUGGCCACCCAUUCAAGGAAUGGGUGCCACUUUUUUCUUUGAGCACCUUAUUGACGUGUUUUGCUAUCUGCUGUCUUUCUGUUACCUGUUGGCUGAAUGGCUAGCUGUUAACACACGCAUGCGCACAGACUAGAGGGCGGGGCCUGCGUGUUCUCAGUGAAGUUUACUGUGGUGACUGCUGAAAGGUGAACCCGUUUCCUGAUCUUCCCGCCACAGUGUUGUGAUAAGAUUCGAAGAAACCGUAUUCCCUGCACAGAAAUGUUUCUUAUCACAUUGUAUCUUAGUAUGGAAAGGAACAUGGUCCCUUUUUUGCAAUUGCUACUGAAAAAGAGAUCUUUAAACUGAAAGAAUAAUUUCCCACGAGGAACCUAGGCUUGAUGACCGCAGAGAUUGUCCCCUCCAAUCCUUGCAGGUGGACAAGGGACACUGUUGUAUCAGUCUGUGUACCGUUCAACCCAUGGAAACACGAACACACACACCCAUCCACCCGUCAAUAUACACAUGUGGUUUGGAAUGAGCAGGUCAAUAGUUUUGAGAGGGAGUUUGUUCCUUUUUUUUUUUCCUCAUUAUA